UACGUAGGGACCAAGCGUUGUUCGGAUUUAUUGGGCGUAAAGAGCUCGUAGGUGGUUCGAUAAGUCGGGUGUGAAACCUCCAGGCUCAACCUGGAGACGCCACCCGAUACUGUCGUGACUAGAGUCCAGUAGGGGAGCGUGGAAUUCCUGGUGUAGCGGUGAAAUGCGCAGAUAUCAGGAGGAACACCAGCGGCGAAGGCGGCGCUCUGGGCUGGCACUGACACUGAGGAGCGAAAGCGUGGGGAGCGAACAGG
This 254-nucleotide ribosomal RNA is filed under the name uncultured bacterium. RNAcentral describes it as "partial 16S ribosomal RNA". It matches the Rfam family "Bacterial small subunit ribosomal RNA", at positions 524 to 776 of the family's 1533-position model. The record is from RNAcentral.